RNAcentral lists this ribosomal RNA (162 nucleotides) under Palmatiboea heucherifolia. RNAcentral's name for it is "Didymocarpus heucherifolius 5.8S ribosomal RNA". It matches the Rfam family "5.8S ribosomal RNA". From Rfam's summary of the family: 5.8S ribosomal RNA (5.8S rRNA) is a component of the large subunit of the eukaryotic ribosome. It is transcribed by RNA polymerase I as part of the 45S precursor that also contains 18S and 28S rRNA. The record is from RNAcentral. Lineage: Eukaryota; Viridiplantae; Streptophyta; Magnoliopsida; Lamiales; Gesneriaceae.
AACGACUCUCGGCAACGGAUAUCUCGGCUCUCGCAUCGAUGAAGAACGUAGCGAAAUGCGAUACUUGGUGUGAAUUGCAGAAUCCCGUGAACCAUCGAGUCUUUGAACGCAAGUUGCGCCCGAAGCCUUCAGGUUGAGGGCACGUCUGCCUGGGUGUCACGC